RNAcentral lists this ribosomal RNA (253 nucleotides) under uncultured bacterium. RNAcentral's name for it is "partial 16S ribosomal RNA". It matches the Rfam family "Bacterial small subunit ribosomal RNA", at positions 524 to 776 of the family's 1533-position model. The record is from RNAcentral.
UACGGGGGGUGCAAGCGUUGUUCGGAAUUACUGGGCGUAAAGGGUUUGUAGGUGGCUUGCUAAGUCAGACGUGAAAUCCCUCAGCUUAACUGGGGAACUGCGUCUGAGACUGGCGAGCUUGAGUGCAGGAGAGGAACGCGGAAUUCCAGGUGUAGCGGUGAAAUGCGUAGAUAUCUGGAGGAACACCGGUGGCGAAGGCGGCGUUCUGGACUGCAACUGACACUGAGAAACGAAAGCCAGGGGAGCAAACGGG